This 548-nucleotide long non-coding RNA is filed under the name Equus caballus (horse). RNAcentral describes it as "lncRNA (ENSECAG00000047817.1)". The record is from RNAcentral. Lineage: Eukaryota; Metazoa; Chordata; Mammalia; Perissodactyla; Equidae.
CCGGAACAGGCCUGGACAGAGGGUCUCUCACUUAUCCAGGAAGGCGUGGCCACAACGACCUCUCAGAUAAAGCAAGCCGGCAGCGGAGAGGCGAAUUAACUCACCUAAGUCUUGCGGGUUGGGUUCCCUGGGAAGGAGACUCUAAGGCAGAGGACACACACUUGAGACUUUGGAGUCCUGAGCCACCAUCUAGGAUGUCUGGUUAUCCUGAAGCCACCAUGCUGGAAUGUCCAUGUGAACAGACCAUGUAGAAACAGAGAGACAGAGAGAUGCCCAACAUGCCCCAGCUGUUCCAGCCCCCAGCUGGCUGAGUCGUCCCAGCCCAGCUGCCUGUCGUGUGAGUGCAGAAGACUUUGAGAUGAUGCCUCCUCCACCCACCAUCUGCCUGCAACGGCAUGAGAGGCCCCAAGCCAGGCCCUCUCAGCCGGGCUGGCUCCCCAGUUCCUGAGCCACAGAAACCCUGAGAGAUAAUAAAUGAUUAUUGUUGUUUGAAGGCACCAAGUUUUGGGGUGAUUUAUGCUGCUGCAAUAGAUGACUACUAUACCCCC